GGGACGAUGAUGAUGGUGCAACAACCAUCAAUGAUAGUGAGCUGGAGUCCACCUUGCCCUUCUACACCAAGAUGAGCGGGUGCCCUUGGGGAUCUUCGAGAACAGUUGGGGCUUGGGGGUGGCCAAGAGAGAUGAGGAGUUAGGGGAGAAGGCACUCGAUCAGGGCAAAUCCUGAAGUAUAUGCAUGGUGGAUGACACACAAUCAGGA
RNAcentral lists this long non-coding RNA (208 nucleotides) under Elaeis guineensis (African oil palm). RNAcentral describes it as "long non-coding RNA (EGUI_LNC012075)". The record is from RNAcentral. Lineage: Eukaryota; Viridiplantae; Streptophyta; Magnoliopsida; Arecales; Arecaceae.